Long non-coding RNA from Homo sapiens (human), 805 nucleotides. The record is from Ensembl. NCBI's taxonomy places the organism in Eukaryota, Metazoa, Chordata, Mammalia, Primates, Hominidae.
ACAGGGCUUCCGAGGCGAUCAGGCAGCAUCAGUCUUCAGCCACUAAACCGAGAAGAUCUGAGAAAGAGUCAGUCAGAGAGCCUUGGGCCAGAGUUCCAGGGGCUCUGGGAGUGGCUUCCAGAAAAUAGGAAGAAAGGAAGAAUUAAAGAAAGAAGAAAGGAAAGAAGAAAAGAAGGCAGGAAGGAAGAACAAAAGGAGGGAAUGAAGGACAAAAACAAAGAUAAAGAAAGAGAGAAUGAAAAGGUCAUUCAGGAAUUUAAAAUGUGAACCGCAAAGUUUCACCAGGACUUCCAAACAGCCCAGGCCUAAGGAAGAGCGGCUUUAUGAAGGAGUUUCCAAGACAGGGACCUCUGUGAAUGGUGUUAGCACACUCUUAAAUGCUUAUCGAUGAUCAGUGAAGAGACCACAGGGAUCCCAAAAACCCUUACUUCCAGCUAUCCUGACUUCCCAAGACUGGCUCUUCAGGACGUCACUAUGGACCAGACAGGUGGACUUCCAGGCCAACAGCAUGGCAAGGAGCUUCCUGGAAUGCCAUGAAAUCCAAAAGUCAGAAUAAGAUUAUUUGCCCCAUGGAGGACUUGCCUAAUUACCAGAAUAAGGUUGGCAGUUUGUGAUAUCUUCUGGUUAAGUUUUCAACUUUAGUUAUGAAGUUACCACGAGAAGCAGGAGUUAUGAAUACAAAGCAUUCAGAAAAUUUGCCAGCAUGGACUUAUAUCUCUAAAAUAGGAUUGGCUCAAGUGAUUUCAAGGCACCAUACCAAGACCUGUGUUAUGUCGGAGCAAACAAAAGACAACAGAUAUUCCUU